Molecule: unclassified non-coding RNA, 20 nt
Filed under: Escherichia phage MS2
Lineage: Riboviria; Orthornavirae; Lenarviricota; Leviviricetes; Norzivirales; Fiersviridae
Description: 5'-R(*AP*UP*GP*CP*AP*UP*GP*UP*CP*UP *AP*AP*GP*AP*CP*UP*GP*CP*AP*U)-3' from Escherichia phage MS2 (PDB 2BS0, chain R)
Source: RNAcentral
AUGCAUGUCUAAGACUGCAU